Molecule: non-coding RNA, 2034 nt
Organism: Zootoca vivipara (common lizard)
Lineage: Eukaryota; Metazoa; Chordata; Lepidosauria; Squamata; Lacertidae
Source: the annotation of a RefSeq genome assembly
AAGGGUGGUGGGAAUGGGUGAUUGGCUGAUAGGAAUGGUAAACCUGUUGACGACUGUUAGCGACUGCAAUUGGUCUUACAGGAAAAAGCAAGACCAAUUGCAAUCAGCCAAGUAAAGUGCACAAAAAUACACAUUUUAUGUGUGUGUAAAUAAUAUAAAAGAAUGAGUUGCGUUAAAACCAUUGCUUUACAGGAAUGUUUAUAUUAGGCAAAAUUUCAUUCAAAGCUGUGUGGAUUAGAAGCUUGAAUUAAAAUGCAGAUGACUUUUCAUGAGGACUGGUUUGCAGAUUGGUGUGAAGAAACUUGAAAAAUAAGCAACUGAGAGAAACCAUAACUGACAGAUUCACCCAUCCCUGCCUUCCUAUAGUGUCUCCCACUCCAGGUCAAACUGCAAAACCACCAGUGGCCCCGAAAGUCCGUCUGCUCCAUUCCUCCUGCGAUUCCAGAUCCGGUGGUGCCCCCAUUGAGCUGCUCUGCAUUAUCUCCAGGUUUUACCCCCAAAUGGUGACAGUGGAUUGGCUGGUGGGUGGAGAAGCCGGACAGCUGGUUGCAUUGACUGAUGAGCCCAAGAAGGAUGACCACGGAUACACUUUCAGUACCACAAGCACCGUCAAUGUUAGCCAAGCAGACUGGCAGGCUGGGAAGGUCUACUACUGCCAGGUGUUCCAUGAAGCAACACAAACAAAGGUGAAGAGCAGAGCCAAGAUAUGCGAAGAGGUGGCUGUGUCAACAAUGGAUGAUUAUAGCGAUGAGAAAGAGGAGGAAAUGGAUCGUCUCUGGGUCACCAUCUUUGUUUUCUUCAUUCUCUUCCUCCUCAGUGUUUCUUACAGUGCCACCAUUACACUGUUCAAAGUAAAAUGGCUCUUCUCCGCUGUGGUGGUCCUGAAAAAACAGCCAGGAGGCCCUGACUAUAAGAAUGUGCUCCAAUGAGUGUCCUAGAAGCAUUUCCCUGGGAGCUCUUGUCCUAUACUCUGAGCGGUGCAAAGAAGAAGUCACUGGCUGGAGAUGGGACUCCGUUUCCAGCAUUAACAACCAAAGCUUCUCUCUGCUGUCUGCUUCUCUCCCCUGGUAGGGGGACAAUGAAACCCCAUCAAAUGAAUGACAGAGAGGCAAUUUUGUUAGAACUUGGAGCUGGACUCGUCAUAUGUCAUUUGCUGAGACUGCACUCCCAAGACAGGAAGCCUACUGGCCCUAUGUAUACAUCUGUUUUCCACAGUGACUGUCAAGAAGAGCAAGCAGGACUCCCAACCCAAGGUGUGGAGACAGUCACACAGGCCUUGAGAAAGGAGUUUGGGGCAUCUACUCAGCAUUAGGUCCUCCUGAGUUCAAUGGGACAUACAUCUAAGUAUACAUAUGACUGCAGCCUGGGUAUCCACUGGACCCACCCCAUUUCAGAGCUUCACUUCUCCUCUCAACCCCAUGUUCUGCCAUAUACUGUGCCUGCUCAUCCAACGUACCCUCAUCACUAGCAGGCAUCCAGCCUCAACCAGCUAUUGGACACACUGACCUGUCCUUCUUUAGCCAAAUCCACCUAAGCACUCUACAUGAAUGUCCUAUUCUGAAUAUUGUCCUUCCCUAUACUGAAUAUUUUGAUCCAUCAGUUUUAAGACCCACCCAACACCAACAAUUUGUUCUUCCUCAGCCCCAUGACUGGCACUGAGGACAUUUAUCCUCUUUUAAAUAUUACAUGUUUUGUGGUCACAACCAGGCACAGCGGGACGCAUACACCUAAACAUUUUGUUUUGCCCCAACUGACCGACAGACGGAUGGACAUGCCAGCUGUCUCCGCAGUAGCAGCGCAGACUGGAGCUCCGUCAUUCUCCCUGGGGAGGGGAGUCUGGGGCAGCUGUGGUGGAGGUUACAGGACUGCUGCUCCUCCUCUUGUCGGGCUAGAGGCAGCCGAUGAGCACUUGCCCCUCCUCGCUCAAGCCAACCCUGCCGCUGCCGCUGCCAGGGGCCUUCCUGUCCUCUCGGCGCCACCGCUACUUUCUAGCUAUUUUUUAGCUAGUUUCUGCUAUUUUCAUAUAUUGGAUGU